Molecule: small RNA, 635 nt
Filed under: Pan troglodytes (chimpanzee)
Lineage: Eukaryota; Metazoa; Chordata; Mammalia; Primates; Hominidae
Description: retained intron
Source: RNAcentral
UUUUCGGCCCAGUAGCGGCGGCUCAGCUGCUGCCAUGGAGCCAGCCGGGCUAGAGCGGCUCCUACGGGAGCUGCUGCUACCGGACACCGAGCGCAUCCGUCGGGUACGGAGCAGGCGUAACCCGGCCAGGGCGAGCGGGAGGUUGCGGGAAAGGCCCGACUCUCACCCCUAGCUUCCCCCCAGGCCACGGAACAGCUCCAGAUCGUUCUUCGGGCCCCCGCCGCUUUGCCGGCUCUCUGCGACCUGCUAGCCUCGGCGGCCGACCCCCAGAUCCGCCAGUUUGCGGCCGUGCUGACCCGCAGACGACUGAACACCCGCUGGCGACGGCUGGCGGCGGAGCAACGGGAGAGGUGGGCUGGGCCUGGGGUGGGGCGGGGCCAGGCGGAGACUUUUCUUGGGCAGGCUGGGUACCAAACACCUGCCACCUGUGUUCCAGCCUCAAGUCCCUGAUCCUGACGGCCCUGCAGAGAGAAACAGAGCACUGUGUGAGCCUCAGCCUGGCCCAGCUCUCAGCCACCAUUUUUCGAAAGGAAGGCCUGGAGGCCUGGCCACAGCUUUUGCAGCUGCUUCAGCACAGUACCCACAGCCCCCACAGCCCAGAGAGAGAGAUGGGGCUUUUGCUGCUAAGUGUGGUG